This 413-nucleotide long non-coding RNA is filed under the name Mytilus galloprovincialis (Mediterranean mussel). The record is from RNAcentral. Lineage: Eukaryota; Metazoa; Mollusca; Bivalvia; Mytilida; Mytilidae.
CAGAAGGAUGUUCUAGCUUUACUCAGUCUUGCUUUGAUGUCUUUGGUGGUCCCAUUAUCACUGCUUAUUACACUGCCUAGGUAUGUAAAGUCUUCUAUUUCCUUGAUGUUUAAGGAUCCAAUCUUUAUUGGAAUUUUAUUUGAUUGGUCGUUGAUUGACAUGACUUUUGUUUUCUCUAUGUUUAUUUUGAGCCCAAGUUUGUUUGACAUAUCAUUCAGUCUUGAAGUUUCCUUUUGCAUUUGUGUUCUGUUGCUGAAUAGUAAGCAAAUGUCACCUGCCAAGUCCAAAUCUUCAAGAAAGGAGUCGAGUGUCCAUCUUAUCAUAGUGUUUCCAUUUCCUAAGGUUGAUCUCAUACACCAGUCAACAACUAUUAAGAAGAGAAGAGGAGAGAUUACGCAUUAUUGUCUGACGCC